This is a long non-coding RNA of Lotus japonicus, 1404 nucleotides long. RefSeq lists it as uncharacterized. The record is from RefSeq and is a predicted model, not a curated record. The transcript is spliced from 2 exons. Lineage: Eukaryota; Viridiplantae; Streptophyta; Magnoliopsida; Fabales; Fabaceae.
GUCCACGUCGGCCCUUGGUGUCACAAGUUUCAUACAGACGAGGCAUUUCGGCGGCCACACUUAACUCCUCUAGGCUUGAAUUUAUGAGCAUUUCCUAGUAAUCUUAUCUUGAGAGGGAGAUAGGAUAUUUACACCAAGGACAAACAAGUGCAGUGCGAUGAAGGUGCAUGAGGACGCAUGCACUGUAGUGUGGAGAGCGUACCAAGAUCAUAAAGAGCAUCUGUAAGACCCUGAAACAAAUAAUUUGUUUAUUUAUUUAAUUUUAUUGUAUUAAUUAAUUAAGUGUUUAUAUUUUAUUAUUUUUAUUGUUUUUGUGUUUAUUAUUUUGGUAAAAUCUGAUUUUCUUUCUCUCUCCAAGUGGACCCCACCCCAAUCAGGUUUACUCUCUCACUCUCCCUCCCUCACGCACGCUCUCACUCUUUCUCUCUUCCUCACGCUCGACAUCUUCUUCUUCUCCCUCUCUACCAUCUUCUUCUUUUACUGGUUACCACAGCAACCCAUGGUUCCUUCUCAUGGCCAGCCACCACCACCACAUCCUUCUCACUCCCUCUGCUCACGCGAACCGCCACCGGUCACGCCACCAUCACUGCGUUUUCUUCUUCUUCCCAUGAGAGCCACCAUGAACGAACCGCCACCACCUUGGCCUCUCCUUCGCGCGCACCACCACCGUCCUCCUGCUGGCCCAGCCGCGAGCACCAUCAUCACCAACAUGAUGAGAAAUAACAGAGAAAUAGAGGAGAAACCAAACCCUAGCCGCCACCUUCAACCUCCGAUCUCCGGCGAACCGCUCACCUUUUGGAGAAACCAACACCAUGGCUAAACUCCCCUCAUCAUCCGCUUCAAAACCCCUCAAUCAAUUUGACGAUCGGUCACCGUCACUCCGGCGACCGCCGCCACCACCGCCACCGACGUUUCUCCGGCGAGCUUUGUUCUGAGAAAGAAGACCAAUUUCUUGAAGCCUUUGAUCUCCUCUACUUGAAUCCAAAGCCAAAUCAUUACUAAGAGCUUUGUUGAUCAUAAGUAGAGGGGGUAGCCACGGCCAGAAAAGAGGAAGAAGCAAAGUUCAGAGACUUGAGGUAGAAGGAGGAAUACAUAAGUAUCAUGUGCUUAAAUUGAUCCUGGCUUUGCCUUGGAUAGUUUUGGGGAUAGCCCUAGGAAUAUAUAUAUAUAUAUAUAUAUAUAUAUAUAUAUAUAUAUAUAUAUAUAUAUAUGCUUCCAUGUACCAAGUUGUAUUUGUAUCAUUUCAAAACUUAUGCUACUGCUGUAUUUGUUCAGUUUUGCGAACUCGUGGAUAAAAAAGUGUUAAGGUUUUUAGAAUGACAAACUCGUCACAAUUUAUGAACUAUUGAACUCGUUCUUAAGCUGUGUUAGAAAAUGAAUUUGAAGAAGUUGUCUUCGUAAGAA